RNAcentral lists this ribosomal RNA (619 nucleotides) under Sympycnus sp. 1 SNK-2009. RNAcentral describes it as "partial 12S ribosomal RNA". The stretch from base 1 to 416 matches the Rfam family "Microsporidia small subunit ribosomal RNA", at positions 756 to 1311 of the family's 1311-position model. Lineage: Eukaryota; Metazoa; Arthropoda; Insecta; Diptera; Dolichopodidae. The record is from RNAcentral.
AGUAAUAGUUAUGUUCUUGAAACUCAAAAAAUUUGGCGGUAUUUUAGUCUAUUCAGAGGAACCUGUAAUAUAAUCGAUAUUCCACGAUGAAUCUUACUUAAUUUUGUAAUUUAAUUUGUAUAUCGCCGUUAUUAAAAAAUUUUAUAAGAAAAAUAAUUUUUUAAGAUUUUUAUAAAAAAAUAAAUCAGGUCAAGGUGCAGUUUAUAGUUAAGUUUUAUAUGGGUUACAUUAAAAUUAUUUAAAACGGAUUAAAAAAUGAAAUUUAUUUUUAUAAAGGUGGAUUUGAUAGUAAAUUUUUAAAGAUAAAAAAGUUGAUUUUAGCUCUAAAAUAUGUACACAUCGCCCGUCGCUCUUGUUAAUAAUAUAAGAUAAGUCGUAACAUAGUAGGUGUACUGGAAAGUGUACCUAGAAUAUCAAUUUAAAGCUUAUUAAGUAAAGUAUUUCAUUUACAUUGAAAAGAUUGUUGUGCAAAUCAAUAUAAAUUGAUAUUAAUUAAUUAUUAAUUUUUUUUAAAAAAAAAGUUAUUUUAUUAAAAAUAAUUAUAAAAUUUAUUUUGUUAAAGUAUUUUAUAUAGAAAUAAUAAUUUUAAUUAUAGUGUAUUAGUAACGUGAGUGAAAUU